RNAcentral lists this unclassified non-coding RNA (379 nucleotides) under soil metagenome. RNAcentral describes it as "partial contains 5.8S ribosomal RNA, internal transcribed spacer 2, and large subunit ribosomal RNA". The stretch from base 5 to 119 matches the Rfam family "5.8S ribosomal RNA", at positions 40 to 154 of the family's 154-position model. The record is from RNAcentral.
GAUGAGAACGCAGCGAAAUGCGAUAAGUAAUGUGAAUUGCAGAAUUCAGUGAAUCAUCGAAUCUUUGAACGCACCUUGCACCCUUUGGCAUUCUGAAGGGUAUGCUCGUUUGAGUGUCAUUGUACUCUCACACUCCCGAUCUUUGCAUUGGGAGCAGUGGACUUGGGUUUGCUGCUUCACCGUCGCUUACCUCAAAUAGGUUAGUGCAACUCUUGGUUGGACAUAGUACGGCGUGAUAAGUGUUCUUCGCCGGUGCCUCGCAAAGAGGGUGGCCGAUCGGGAUGUUGUGCUCCAAACCGUCUUCGGACAAUCUCUGACGACUUGACCUCAAAUCGAGUAAGACUACCCGCUGAACUUAAGCAUAUCAAUAAGCGGAGGA